AACGUGAUUCACGAGGAAGGCCACCAAGUGAGCUCUUUGCAUUCGUAAUAUUGAAUCAGCCAUGGUGAGCUUAAGAAGAAGCAAACGCAUGAGACUUUGCACCGAGAAAAGUUCUGUUCUAGCUCCACUGCCAUGGUUUUGUGACAAGGGAACUGCUCCUCAAAAUUCUACCCAAACAAAACCAGAUAGUGUGCAUUCAAUGCCUUCAAAUGAUGUGAAUCUGCCGGAGGGGAAUGCGACUCAUACAAGGGAUUCCUCUGAGAUUAUCAGUGUGUUGAGAGAGCCAGCUGCAG
Prunus mume (Japanese apricot) is the source of this 293-nucleotide non-coding RNA. NCBI's taxonomy places the organism in Eukaryota, Viridiplantae, Streptophyta, Magnoliopsida, Rosales, Rosaceae. The record is from RefSeq and is a predicted model, not a curated record.